RNAcentral lists this ribosomal RNA (260 nucleotides) under uncultured Glomus. Its description in RNAcentral is "partial 18S ribosomal RNA". It matches the Rfam family "Eukaryotic small subunit ribosomal RNA", at positions 624 to 886 of the family's 1831-position model. The record is from RNAcentral. Lineage: Eukaryota; Fungi; Glomeromycota; Glomeromycetes; Glomerales; Glomeraceae.
AAGCUCGUAGUUGAAUUUCGGGGUUAGUAGGUUGGUCAUGCCUCUGGUAUGUACUGGUCUCACUGAUUCCUCCUUCCUUAUGAACCGUAAUGCCAUUAAUUUGGUGUUGCGGGGGAAUUUGGACUGUUACUUUGAAAAAAUUAGAGUGUUUAAAGCAAGCUAACGCUUGAAUACAUUAGCAUGGAAUAAUGAAAUAGGACGUUCGAUCUUAUUUGUUGGUUUCUAGGUAUUGACGUAAUGAUUAAGUAGGGAUAGUUGGG